CNGCNGUCGACGAUUCCUACGGGAGGCAGCAGUGGGGAAUUUUGGACAAUGGGGGCAACCCUGAUCCAGCCAUCCCGCGUGUGCGAUGAAGGCCUUCGGGUUGUAAAGCACUUUUGGCAGGGAAGAAAGGGCGCUGGUUAAUACCUGGCGUUGAUGACGGUACCUGCAGAAUAAGCACCGGCUAACUACGUGCCAGCAGCCGCGGUAAUACGUAGGGUGCAAGCGUUAAUCGGAAUUACUGGGCGUAAAGGGUGCGUCGGCGGUUUGGCAAGAAAGGUGUGAAAUCCCAGGGCUUAACCUUGGAACUGCACUUUUAACUGCCAGGCUAGAGUACGUCAGAGGGGGGUAGAAUUCCACGUGUAGCAGUGAAAUGCGUAGAGAUGUGGAGGAAUACCGAUGGCGAAGGCAGCCCCCUGGGAUGAUACUGACGCUCAGGCACGAAAGCGUGGGGAGCAAACAGGAUUAGAUACCCUGGUAGUCCACGCCCUAAACGAUGUCAACUAGCUGUUGGGGCCGUUAGGCUUUAGUAGCGCAGCUAACGCGUGAAGUUGACCGCCUGGGGAGUACGGUCGCAAGAUUAAAACUCAAAUGAAUUGACGG
Molecule: ribosomal RNA, 600 nt
Filed under: uncultured Alcaligenes sp.
Lineage: Bacteria; Pseudomonadati; Pseudomonadota; Betaproteobacteria; Burkholderiales; Alcaligenaceae
Description: bacterial SSU rRNA
Rfam family: Bacterial small subunit ribosomal RNA
Source: RNAcentral